This 248-nucleotide ribosomal RNA is filed under the name Klebsiella pneumoniae. RNAcentral describes it as "partial 23S ribosomal RNA". It matches the Rfam family "Bacterial large subunit ribosomal RNA", at positions 2336 to 2583 of the family's 2925-position model. The record is from RNAcentral. Lineage: Bacteria; Pseudomonadati; Pseudomonadota; Gammaproteobacteria; Enterobacterales; Enterobacteriaceae.
CAUCAGGAGGUUAGUGCAAUGGCAUAAGCUAGCUUGACUGCGAGCGUGACGGCGCGAGCAGGUGCGAAAGCAGGUCAUAGUGAUCCGGUGGUUCUGAAUGGAAGGGCCAUCGCUCAACGGAUAAAAGGUACUCCGGGGAUAACAGGCUGAUACCGCCCAAGAGUUCAUAUCGACGGCGGUGUUUGGCACCUCGAUGUCGGCUCAUCACAUCCUGGGGCUGAAGUAGGUCCCAAGGGUAUGGCUGUUCG